CGCUCAGUGGCCGAAUAGGUGUAAGUCUUUUAAACUUAUAAUAGUCUCUCUCUGGGCGA
RNAcentral lists this transfer RNA (59 nucleotides) under Gammarus nipponensis. RNAcentral's name for it is "tRNA-Lys". Lineage: Eukaryota; Metazoa; Arthropoda; Malacostraca; Amphipoda; Gammaridae. The record is from RNAcentral.